RNAcentral lists this ribosomal RNA (482 nucleotides) under uncultured bacterium. RNAcentral's name for it is "partial 16S ribosomal RNA". It matches the Rfam family "Bacterial small subunit ribosomal RNA", at positions 28 to 523 of the family's 1533-position model. The record is from RNAcentral.
GAUGAACGCUGGCGGCGUGCUUAACACAUGCAAGUCGAACGAUGAAGCCCAGCUUGCUGGGUGGAUUAGUGGCGAACGGGUGAGUAACACGUGAGUAACCUGCCCUUAACUCUGGGAUAAGCCUGGGAAACUGGGUCUAAUACCGGAUAGGAGCGUCCACCGCAUGGUGGGUGUUGGAAAGAUUUAUCGGUUUUGGAUGGACUCGCGGCCUAUCAGCUUGUUGGUGAGGUAAUGGCUCACCAAGGCGACGACGGGUAGCCGGCCUGAGAGGGUAGCCGGCCACACUGGGACUGGGACACGGCCCAGACUCCUACGGGAGGCAGCAGUGGGGAAUAUUGCACAAUGGGCGAAAGCCUGAUGCAGCGACGCCGCGUGAGGGGUGACGGCCUUCGGGUUGUAAACCUCUUUCAGUAGGGAAGAAGCGAAAGUGACGGUACCUGCAGAAGAAGCACCGGCUAACUACGUGCCAGCCGCCGCCGUAA